This 28-nucleotide non-coding RNA is filed under the name Homo sapiens (human). The record is from RNAcentral. Lineage: Eukaryota; Metazoa; Chordata; Mammalia; Primates; Hominidae.
UCCAUCAGGCAGCAAAACAAAGACUGGA